GUUGCCGGCCAGAGGUGCGGCCGCCAGCAGUAGCGUCGCGGAGGAACGAGCUUCCGCCGAAACGGCGCGAACGGGGCGACCGCCGAAGUCGCCGAUCCGACUCGGGAUCGGGGGCUGGUCCCAUGCCCGGAAGGGUUGCGGACUGUCGCGACGGGGGAGACCCCGACGCGAAGCGCUGCCGUGUGA
Molecule: non-coding RNA, 186 nt
Filed under: Chloroflexota bacterium
Lineage: Bacteria; Bacillati; Chloroflexota
Description: Chloroflexi bacterium Lysine sequence
Rfam family: Lysine riboswitch aptamer
About the family: Riboswitches are metabolite binding domains within certain messenger RNAs that serve as precision sensors for their corresponding targets. Allosteric rearrangement of mRNA structure is mediated by ligand binding, and this results in modulation of gene expression.
Source: RNAcentral